UUCAACAUUUGUUUGUGAAUAGUUUUGUUAAAUAUUAGAUUAGGUAUUAGCAAUGGCAAGUUGUGCUGUAAAUUGUUGUAAAAACAAUCGAAAAUUUCCUAAGAUGGAUAAAGAAAUUACAUUCCAUAGGUGAACUACGAAAAGUGUGGUUAACACUACUUGGAAAAACAGAUGAAAAUUGGAAAUGCAAUCUAGAUAAUGUGUUUGACAUGAAAACCUGGUUUAGUCAUCCUUCUGCAACUAAUAAAGUAUAUUGUGUAUUAGAUGCAUGUCAUAUGCUGAAAUUGAUCAGAAAUAAUUGGUCAAACUUAGACACGAUUAAAAAUCCUGAUGGAGAUCUUGUAAGGUGGGUGUAUGUCAAGGAAUUGUAUAAAUUACAAGAAGCAGAGGGAUUACAUGUUGCGAACAGGGCCGGAUUAACUGUGUAUGCGCCCCUAGGCAAAACCCUACUGGCGCCCCCCUCCCCCUCUUUUCCUAGUAAGAAUACAAAAAAGUUAAUUAAUUAUAAUGUGUUGUUUAUUAAAAGAACAAUACACUAAACUAAAAUUCAAACUUAAAUAUUUUUGUGUAAUUUUUUUACAGUAGGAUUCUUUUAUAGCUACCCUACAAUGCAGCCUAAUGGAUGAUAUUAUAAUGCAUUGUGAACAAUAAUUAGGAACCAAGCUAGAAAUUUAAAUUAAAUAUUUUUGCGUGAUUUUUUACAACAGAAUUCUUUUAUAACAUCACUUUUUACAUACCCUCAGCACAGCAGCAAGAGCAACAUCACCGACACCGUCGACAUCAGCGUCCGUGGACUUAGAGGGAAAAUAGGUGUUUAAUUUGCGAACAUGUUUUAGCUCUUCAUCCAAUCUAUCUUUCUUCACCUUAUCUAACUUUCUCCUUUUGGCUCCACUAAGUUUCGUAUUCAUUUCAAUUUUUUAAUUUUAUGGGUUCUCGUUCGAAUUGAAUCGUUAAAAAAUAAGCUUACAACUUCGUUGCAUUUGUAUAUACGUGAUAUACCAUAUACGAAAUAACGAGGAGAAAUAAAAAUCACAUUCACACCUUUAGACGUAGAUCGAAACAGAAAUUAGAGGCAGAAUGUAAUGAAUCAUGAAUGACUAAUCAGACUAAUGAGAAAAUAUCUCCGACUAACUAACUCAUAUAUGGAAUUAUUAGUUGCCAUUUGGUUGUACUUGUACUUUAUGAAUGGGAUAUGUUUUGUCUGUUAUCUUAUGCUUAUCUGCAACUGCAAAUUAUUAACUGCGGUCGGCGCCUCGGCGGUGCUGUAUGCUGACGGUGCACGGUGCUGUCGCCACACUACAUAAUAAGAUAGGCUCAACAAUUAGUUUUUUGUCUUAUGUAUAAUGUAAUUGUAAUAGUGAUACGUGACUGCUGGUGAUAGAAAAUUAUCGCGUACACGUUCGGUGCGUGGUGUCGGUGCCCGGGCGCGGCGCCCCAUUGAUCCGUGCGCCCCUAGGCAAUUGCCUAGUUUGCCUAGUGGAUAAUCCGGCCCUGGUUGCGAAUAAAUUAAAACGUGCCCACAUGGAAUAGUACAGACAAAAAAUGAAAGUGCAUUUAGCAGCACAAACAUUAAGUAGGAGUGUGGCAGAUGCCAUCGAAUAUUUGAACACUCGUCAUCCGGAAGAGUUUAAAGGGAGCGAAGCCACCGUUGACUUCAUUAGAAAAAUUAAUGAUCUUUUCGAUUUGUUAAACUCCAGUGGUCCCCGAGCAUCAGGGUUUAAGGCUCCCCUAAGAUUAUGUAAUGAAGCUGUUUGGAGACCGUUUAUUUUAAAUACAGUUCAUUACUUAUUAAGGUGUACGGAUGUUGGAGGCAGACCUUUACAUAUGACUCCUAAAAAAACGCCUUUCCUGGGGUUUGCAAUUACCUCAUUUUCCGUUUGUAGAAUUUAUGAUUCCUUGGUAAAAGUAGAAAAACUUAAAUACUUUUUAACCUACAAGGUAUCACAGGAUCACUUAGAAAUAUUUUUUUGCUC
Molecule: long non-coding RNA, 1973 nt
Organism: Photinus pyralis (common eastern firefly)
Lineage: Eukaryota; Metazoa; Arthropoda; Insecta; Coleoptera; Lampyridae
Exons: 3
Source: RefSeq, a predicted model, not a curated record